Molecule: long non-coding RNA, 213 nt
Filed under: Brassica napus (rape)
Lineage: Eukaryota; Viridiplantae; Streptophyta; Magnoliopsida; Brassicales; Brassicaceae
Description: long non-coding RNA (BNAP_LNC023168)
Source: RNAcentral
UAAUAAAUAAAUAAAAAUAUUUUAAAAAUAAAAAUAUAUUUUUUAAUUUUUUUCAAAUUAUAUUAUUUCAAAAUUCAAACCCUAAAACUUAAAACUCAAAUCUAAACCCUAAACCAUCAAUCCUAAACCCUAUAUAUUUCUUGAAAUAGGAACCCUAAACCCUAAAACCUCAACUCUAAACCCUAAACCCUAAAAAGUAAACUCUAAACCCUA